GAGCAUAUAAAAUCUUCAAUUUAUCACAAGUAUAACUGAUUUACAAUAUUAAUGCCAAUAUUAGAAGUAGUUAGUGUAGAAAUUUAUACUCAGUAGAUGCCUUCACGCUGCCUCCUUUCUGUAGCCAGACUACUUCCUUAGAUGCAUUUGGUCCUACGGUCAAUCAAUGCCUGCAACACCUGCCAACAACACGGCAGGCAGUUUACUCCCAAAUGCACUCUGAUAAUGCAGCUUAACAGUAAUGCUGUUCAAUGAUUAGCAUUUGAGGAAAAAUUGGUAAUGUACUAAAAACCAAGAAUUAUCUGCUGAUAGUUCGAACCAUCCUCUAUCAUAAUUGCACGACAGAUAACAAAUGAAGUUCAAUAUAUAAGUACAUUCAUUUAAGUGAAAUAAGAAUUACUGUUCAAAUAUGAAGGGGUUAGAUUCAACUCCUUUGAUAACAGUAAAUAAAUCCUUUCUCAAAAUUUAACUCUCUAGACGAUGUCUUACACUCCUUGUCAGCUGCCUACUGCCUACUGGAAGCUGCCUACUUUUUCAGGAUAGGGCCUGCUGCCUAUGAAUGGAUAAAUAUACAAAGUGAAAAAAAAAUGGUUUUCUUUUUUAUUUUACACAGACAUUGAGUUUAUUUCUCAUGGCCUCUUCCGUUACUCCCACCACUCGGGGAUUCAAAAAUGGAUCUCUUGAUUUUUAGAUAAAAUUUUCCCUUUUUUAUAUAUUUUUAUUAGAUAGAUAAGCAAAGAAGCUCAUGGAGUAUCUCUUGGUGAGACAGAUGGAACUAGAGGCACACUUGUACUUUUUGGGGCCAUUGCCAUUCUUCAUAAAUUGUAGAUAAGAAUAGAGACCACAGUUUGUCACAUCCCAACAUUUGAAAUUCAUGGCUUUCAAUGCUCAAUCAUGGAAAUACUUUGUACAAAUAUUUUACUCCAAAUAUACACAUAAGAACAAACAAACUAACACUUGCAUUGAUUUCCACAUAUUUUUUAUUCUUUUAAACCACUUCAAAAAUCAAAACUUCCCUAGUUAGAGUAAUUAACCACAUUCUAAUAAAGAUUCAAUUAACCAGUUUUGGAUGAGCAAGGAGAUAAUACCUUUAUUCUGUAGUAACAUACUUAGGAUUAUGUUGCGUCAUCACAUUCAAACAAGCACUGGCCUAAAGUGAAAAAAGCAAAUUUGAUUAGAAUACAAAAGGAGCAAAAAGUUAACAGCCGACUUGAGUUAUUCCUAGUUGCAAUGACUUUGCACAAAAAAGUUAAUCAUCUAACCAUUAAACAAGUAGUGUAGCCAAGAUUUUGAAUAAAACACAUCAAAAGCAAAAUUAUGCCUAGCUUAACAAAGAUAUUAUGACAGUAGUAUUUUUGGAUGAUUUAUUUUCAAUUUAAACUUAAGACUAAAAUUUAUCAUUAGAACAGUUUCUAACUUAUGCUAACCAACAGAUAUGAAAAGUUAGUUUACUAGUUAAGACUAUGAAAUCCAAAUAAAAUUUGAAGAUGCCAUAAAAGGUAAAUUGUCAAAAGAAAAUUAAAAAAUCCCUAACAUAUUUGUACACUUACUUGGUUAAUUCAUGGAAUUUGUGUCCCAAGAUUAAACCAACUGUUGAAGCAGCCCACUGCCACAAAAUAUCAUGAAAUUAAAUUGAAGAGAAAUAUAGUAAGCAGUACAGGUGAUCAAAAAGUGAAAGAAUAUUCUCAUACAUGUUAGGUUAGAAAGAAAUUUUGACUAGAAAAGCUAAAAAUAUCCAAUGUUAAUCUGUGUUGUAGUUACAAUUAACAACCUUGGAGAAUCUAAGGGUGCUACUCACCUUAGUUAGAAGAUGAGAGAGUUUCUCUAGAAAAAACAGUAGUGUGAGUUCUUUUCAGAAGUUACUUCGAGCUAAGAGCAAACUCCAUAGCAGAUUUCAUAGGAGACUCCAAGCAAGUUCUUCAUGGUAAAUGCCAAAAGAAGACAAGAUCCGAGGAACAGUCAAAAUAUCCCAACAGCAUCAAAUAGUUCAGCAACUAUCAAUUCUCCAUCUGAGAGACUGCAUGAAGAUUCUUGUCUGCAGAUAUCUGAUACCUCUAGACCAUUAGAGAAUGAGGCUCUCACUCUGCUUCAAAUCUCUGACACUAUAUCAGCAAUAGGACAAACAAGCAUUUAGCAGUCUCAAG
This 2144-nucleotide long non-coding RNA is filed under the name Panax ginseng (ginseng). RNAcentral's name for it is "long non-coding RNA (PGIN_LNC007180)". Lineage: Eukaryota; Viridiplantae; Streptophyta; Magnoliopsida; Apiales; Araliaceae. The record is from RNAcentral.